UCCUAAGGUGAGCUCAAUGAGAACGGAAAUCUCAUGUAGAACAAAAGGGUAUAAGCUCAUUUGAUUUUUAGUUGGCAUCGCUUAAUAUACAUGUAGGAAACAGU
Paramuricea clavata is the source of this 104-nucleotide non-coding RNA. The record is from the annotation of a GenBank genome assembly. Lineage: Eukaryota; Metazoa; Cnidaria; Anthozoa; Malacalcyonacea; Plexauridae.